Molecule: long non-coding RNA, 459 nt
Organism: Uranotaenia lowii
Lineage: Eukaryota; Metazoa; Arthropoda; Insecta; Diptera; Culicidae
Exons: 3
Source: RefSeq, a predicted model, not a curated record
GAUUGGUGAUGGGGAGUAGGAUAAACAAAAAUCAAAGAAACAAACUAAAAUUUGGCUCGUCAUUGCGUGCAUAGUGCAGGAGUGAUUUGUAAAAUUAUCUUAUUAAGCUAAAAUAGUACGGUUAGUGCUGAGUAGUACGGAUUAACAUUUACUGGAGGACGUUGUACAUUUAAAAACCGUAAGUGAAAGACAUUUGCUAAAAUACUUAUUACUAAAGUUGUAUUUGAACUCACAUAGGUAACAGCAACAGAAUCUAACCUACAAAAACAGUUCCGAUUGAUACAGUUAGUUCGUGAAACAAGAUAAAACCAUUUGAAUUGGUUUCGAGCUGAUAGCAAAAAAGCAGCGAUUUAAUUUCUUGAUCCCGGUACACCGACGUUACUGUCCGAUAAAAGAAAACUUAAUCUUCAAGCUGCUAUACAAGAAAGGCUGCUCUGAGGAUUCGUUUUAAUUAUCCGA